GAACAUGUUAAAUAAAAGACUUUGAUAAAUAAAAUGGUGUUUGAACAUACAAUUGCACUCGAAUUCACUUUUUUCUCUCUUUGACACAUAUACUUUGAGCAAGUGAAAUUUUCAGUAGUUUCAACACCCAGAUUUCCCUAAGUUAUAAUCCCUAUUUAUUGAAAAAUGAGAUAACUGCUUCCCAACGGGUCUUUCUUCCUUUCUUGCCACGUUCUUGUCUGCAUGCAAAACUACCUCCUGAGGUGCUUCCACAAGUCCCCUGUCUUGGAUAAGGCUGAGCGACAAUUAUAUAUCAUAUUUCUUAAUAAUUUCUAGUCGGGUAGAUCAUUUCACUUUGCAUGAAUUUUCACUAAGUCCCCUGAACCAUACAAUGUACACAUGGGCUUCGACUGACUUCUCAAACCAGUAUUUGGGUGUCGACAAGCUUAUUGGAAAAAACUAUUGAACACCUUAAAAGAAGAUAUGUUGACCUCAAUCUUCUCAACACUCUUUUCUUCACUUUACAUCCCCGUUUUCCCUCUUCUGUCAAAAUGACUCCACUAUGUCAUCGGAAUUCCUCUUCGACGAGUCAAAUCAACAUCCACGUCAUCACGUCGAAAUCCUAGCUAACAUUGUCAGAG
RNAcentral lists this long non-coding RNA (620 nucleotides) under Lathyrus oleraceus (garden pea). Its description in RNAcentral is "Pisum sativum (pea) long non-coding RNA (PSAT_LNC028481)". Lineage: Eukaryota; Viridiplantae; Streptophyta; Magnoliopsida; Fabales; Fabaceae. The record is from RNAcentral.